Long non-coding RNA from Saccostrea echinata, 541 nucleotides. RefSeq lists it as uncharacterized. The record is from RefSeq and is a predicted model, not a curated record. NCBI's taxonomy places the organism in Eukaryota, Metazoa, Mollusca, Bivalvia, Ostreida, Ostreidae. The transcript has 5 exons.
AUAAACACAUUGAAUACACGUGGUUUUGAGGGUAUUCCUGUUUGCGGAUGGAAAAAAAUCAGAAAAUGCCGUGAACUAUUUCUUUCGGGGCAUAGGAGGCCACUUCCUGGGGUGCACACAGGAUGUUUAUAAACACAUUGAAUACACGUGGUUUUGAGGGUAUUCCUGUUUGCGGAUGGAAAAAAAUCAGAAAAUGCCGUGAACUAUUUCUUUCGGGGCAUAGGAGGCCACUUCCUGGGGUGCACACAGGAUGUUUAUAAACACAUUGAAUACACGUGGUUUUGAGGGUAUUCCUGUUUGCGGAUGGAAAAAAAUCAGAAAAUGCCGUGAACUAUUUCUUUCGGGGCAUAGGAGGCCACUUCCUGGGGUGCACACAGGAUGUUUAUAAACACAUUGAAUACACGUGGUUUUGAGGGUAUUCCUGUUUGCGGAUGGAAAAAAUCAGAAAAUGCCGUGAACUAUUUCUUUCGGGGCAUAGGAGGCCACUUCCUGGGGUGCACACAGGAUGUUUAUAAACACAUUGAAUACACGUGGUUUUGAG